Phrynosoma platyrhinos (Desert horned lizard) is the source of this 70-nucleotide non-coding RNA. Lineage: Eukaryota; Metazoa; Chordata; Lepidosauria; Squamata; Phrynosomatidae. The record is from the annotation of a GenBank genome assembly.
GCCAGAGUGGCUUAGUGGUUUGAGUGCUGGACUGACUCUGGAGGCCAAUGCUCGAAUCCCAGCUCUGACA